GAAGAACUCAACAUACGAGACGCAGGAACUCCCCUCUAGCGGCCACCAGGUGGCGCUGUUAGCGCAAUCAUAAGGAAGACGAGAGUGGGUUUUAUCACCACCCCCCCGCCCCCCUUGCAGCAUCGAUCAGCUGGCCGCCGUGCCCCCGGUGGGCCAAUGUGCCGUUUCCUCCAUUAGUGUCGGCUUUGUUAAACCAAUCACAGAGGUGUUAAUGGGCGAUGGCGGGGCCCCUUGGAAUGAGAAGAGAGGAGAUGGGAUGGAGAAAUGUGUGUUGGGCCCCUCAAGGUCUCCCCAUCCACAUGCGAGAUGCUCACCUCAGUGCGGCUUAAUUACAUCAUUACAGACCCGGAGGUGUUACGUUCUCUCCACGUGUUAAUCGAUCUGACAGCGCAUUUAAACAGGCGAUAAUCGCCGAGUCUCUCCAGGUGAUGGCCCAUGUGACCACGUGAAUGGAUAUUUGUAAGAGCUGGAGCUUGACGACUGGCUGACACGUCGGUGACUUAAUCCCGUCGACCUCCCGCCUGCGCAUCAAUUACAUCCCCAUUGACUGGCCAUUAGGCAGAGGCAUUGACAUUCACGGGCCUCCGUCUGCACCGAGGCCGAUGUGUAUUCCCCCCCAACACAGGAGUCGGGCCCUGCGCAUUUACACCCGGAUCACUGCAUUUAUUGUGCUGCUCCGUGGCGGCGGGCCGCAGAGGCCUCUG
Gasterosteus aculeatus aculeatus (three-spined stickleback) is the source of this 704-nucleotide long non-coding RNA. NCBI's taxonomy places the organism in Eukaryota, Metazoa, Chordata, Actinopteri, Perciformes, Gasterosteidae. The record is from Ensembl.